Molecule: long non-coding RNA, 4566 nt
Organism: Pseudopipra pipra
Lineage: Eukaryota; Metazoa; Chordata; Aves; Passeriformes; Pipridae
Exons: 2
Source: RefSeq, a predicted model, not a curated record
CCAUCCUAAAGCACCUUCCAUCAUUGUUGAAAUUCCAGAAAUGGUAUCAAGAAAAAGUCUUUCUUUAUAAACCUGAAAAGUAGAGCUGUCCCAUGGGGCCUGAUAUUCUUCCCCUCCUUUUUGGAAGGGUACAGUUCACAUCAGCUACCUAAUUAAACCUCUGGUCUGCCUGCCUUAUUCUGGGGCUAUCAGCUUCUGUGGAAUAAGAACAUGUCUAAAAUCCAGUCUGUCCCAAGCACAUAGCACUUUGUGCACACACCUUUCCUGGCAAGCACCAUUGACCUUCCCCACAGUAUGGCUAUUUGUUGUUAUUUUUGUGGUAGCAGAAGUAUGUUAGAUGCUAAUGAAGUACUUAUAUUUAGUAAGUGCACUGUUAUGAGCUGGCUGUGAAGCUGUCAGCAGCACUGUUAUUAAAGAGCACAAGCCUAACACAAAGGUGCACUGCACAGAGAAUGGGUUCUUUAUGUUAUACAGAAGCACAUUUAAUGAGUUUAUUUUGGUUAGCUUUUGGUUUAGUCUCGGGUCCGCCAAUACUGACAUCAUUUUUCCAAGCAGGGAGCACCAUCUAAGACUUCUCUGCAUCACUGUCCUCGGGGUGGGCCAGUGUGUGGGCUGAUGCAGUGCUCAGCACUCCAGAUCAUUUCAUUUUGGCAACCAUUCUGCUUCUGCUGUCUCUAUCUCCAUAUUCUAUUUUAGGGGCUUAUAGAGCACCAAUCUUCUCAACUAAAAUAUAACUGAAACAAUAUAUUCAGCACCAAAUAAGCAAAAAGCAAAAGACUCAAAAUAGACUAUUUUGUUAUUAUUAUUAUGGGGUUAAAUCACUGAAACAUAGAUAUCUUCCUACUCCUCAUCCCACUUCUUUCUUUAGUUUGUCUCAUCUUGUUCUCUCCUCAGGGACGUACUGCUGGCCCACAAGCUUGUGCAAAAAAAACCCAAAACCAAAAAACCUCGAACUCUGUUCUGUGAUGGGUCCAUGGGUGCCAAGUAGUCAUCUAGCAUAAUUCUUGAAAAACAAUGUUAUUGGUUGAAUUUCAUCUGUCCUGACAUCCUUGCACCAAUCCCCCCGUCUGCAGUGGGGGCCAGGGAACAUCCUUUGGAGAGCGAUCUCGCACGGCAGCAUUGCGUUGGCACGAAAACACAGCUACGCCCGAACCUGCGCUUCUAAGUGAAGUGUAUUUAUUCUUGGUCAGUGGGUCUGGGGAAGGGGGUGGAUUUUUAACCAGGUACCCCAAAGGCAGGAUAUAGAGGAAUAACUGUCGAUAUGCCGGGGGCUUCAGUUCGCCACAGAAGAUCUAAGUUAUUUGGCAAGACCUCGCUGGGGCUGCACCUCUCCCCGCUGAGCACUGCGGGUCCUGCCGGCGCUCCCAAAGGCUGUGGCGACAUUCGCAAUUAAGCGAGAGCCACUGCAGGGCUCGCAGCUGUGCCUCCCGCAGAUGCCAUUUGCCGACUUGGCACAGGCAGCUCUGCAGCUCCUCUGGAGGCACUUCAGGGUUCGCCUGAAGUGAGGCUUUGGCUCGGCUCGGCUCGGCGCUGGUGACUCUCCCGCUCUCCACGCAGGAACUGCUGAUGGCGAUUAAUGUUACAACCAACAGCAGAGCCCCAGGUGGCACAGCACAGAACGCUCCGCUUUCCCAGAGCCUCCCGAGGGACACUGUUUUCUCCCCCUUUCCCGCGGGCAGCGGGGCCGCAGCGGGAGCGCUCUGUGCCGGGCUCGGGGGAAGGCGGCUGCACCCCGCACCCUGACAGGUCCUGAAACGCCAGCGAGGGAGAGGCAGCGCUGAGGCGUCCGGUCCGGUCCGAUCCGAUCCGAUCCGAUCCGAUCCCAGCUCCCUCCCUCCCUCCACGGGCAGCUCCCACCAGCUAUCCCCUGGCUGGCGGCGGGACCUAUAUCCUCUCGCGGAAGGCUACCGCUCGCUGGCACGGCGGCAUCCGACGGAAGCGGUGCUGUGGCUUCUGAGGCAGCACUUUGUGAAGGCGCGCCUGAUUGGCUGACGGGGCUCCGCAAUGGUUAUCUGGGUGCCAGAGGUGCAAAACGUGGCAGUACAAACUUGCUUAUUGUGCCCUGCCCCUGGCGGUGUGAGGAGCGUCUCUUGGACCGCUGCUCCAAGUGACAGCUUGAGUGGCAGCUGGGGGAGGAUGUGCUCGGCGGAGUGAUGACUGAGCGCUGAAAUAUCUUGCUGAAACGCUGCAAAAUCUUUCAACACAAAGAGGUGUUUCUGCAAAAUUAGCCCCGAAACGCGAAGCUGCGCCGAUGUAUACGAGGUUCGUGUGCAUCCAUCUGGGACUUGUGGUCCCCUUGGGCCUGGCCAGAACCUGCUCCAGCCCGGUUCCAUAGGUACCAUAACCGCUUGUAUGGGUUUUUUUUAGAUAAAGCAUAGAUAAGCCAGAAGCAAACAAAUAAAGCCAUCUCUGCACCACUAAGUAGCUUACAGGACUGCUUUAAAAACGAUAGGGUUUUUAAACCAGCAAGAACUUCCUGGCGCAUCUGUGAAGUUUGAUAUAGUAACCGUCUAAAGGUAGAAGUAGGUUACAGACACUCAUUAUCUAAAUUCUUCAGUAUUUCUGCUGCUGGAGUGUUUUCAUUGCUCUUUUUCAAAAUCCCAUUCUUGAAGAGUGAGUCAGCACUGUGAAUGUGUCAGGGAGCAGUGUUUUAAAUAAGGUUUCACUGCUAAGCAAUCAUUAAAGAGUAUGUUUAUAUAUGAAAAAAUUGCAAACUUGCACAUGAACAUAACAGCUUGAUUUCUUGACUCUCGUGAAAGUUCUCUUCCUAAAUACAGUUUUCAGGAUAAUGUUCCUGAUGCUCUAGUGGAGGGAUUUUGAGUCCUUGGUAAUAUAUUUUCCUUAUUCCAUUUGCUUACUAGGAAGUAGAACCGUUUUUAUUUUUAAAUUAUUGUGAUUUCCUUUUCACAGCCUUACUGAGUACAAACUGUUUUCCUGCUGGCAUGAACACUUCUUACUGUCUUUUUUCCAAAGAACUCUUUAAAAAUACUAAACACAAUCUAGCCUCUUCUUCUUGUAAUCCUAGCCAAGUGGAACAAGUGCAGUGAACCCUUUAUGGGAAAAUUACAUGCCUGUGUAAUUAUAACAUUAAUGAGUGCAAGUUUGCUAAAGUGAAACAUAAAAGUGAGAUUGCAAAGAUCAUUUCGUUGCUUACCUGGUGAUUUAAAGUGUGAUAACAGUUUUGAAAAAAAUUGUGUUUGAAAACUUUAAAUCUAAACCAGCUUGAGAUCUUAACAAAUGGAAAGGAAAUUGGUAUAAAGCACUGGUAAAGGGGUAAAGGCAUCACCUUGCUCUGGACUAUUCUUCAGAAUUCUCCAGAGUAUUCUCCAGAACAACCUUAUAUGACUCAUAAAACAAAUUUGUUGUAUGAAUUUACUAUAAUGACUGUACACAUAAUAGAACUAUAUUAAUAUCAGAGAACCUGAAAAAAGCUUUUAGAAGUGACAUCAUCAUUCAAUGGGAAAUAAAUAUAUCAAUUUCAGGGUUCACAAGAAAAUCAUUGUUACCCCAGGCAGUCUCCCGUAAAGCAGCCUGUUAAAAAGAUAACCUCAAGAGCUCUGGUGUGUUCAGGGGAGCAAUAAUAUUCUAAGAAUUAGCUUACUUUGACCAAAAGUUCUAGAAUGAAUCAAUGGAAAUAAAUACCAAUUACAUGUUUAUUAGAAAGAGUGACACUAAUCAAGUUACGGUACUUUCCACAGCUCAGAGUGAUGAUGCUACAUUUUUUAUGGGUGCUCUGUGUAAGCCAUGUCCAAAGCCAUCAGAGAGUAUGUCAAAGGCAAUGUGGAACAGAGUUCGUUACAGUUCUAAAUAUAUCACAUUCAAAACAUUCUGACUGAAAACAUGCCCCAUCCAUUUAAAGCAACCAUUUUAAAAGCAGUGUAUUUACAGAUAUGUCAUUACACCAACAUCUGGUAAAUGUAUGCAGGUCUGCCAUCUUAUGGAGCCUGAAUGGUACUGCCAAAUAACAGAAUGUGGAACUAUGUGUUCGUAUUAGAUGAAUAGUUUGAAUUUCUCCUUUACAGGUAAUGUGUGUUUUCUUUUAAAACUCACGCCAUUUGAAUGCAUUGUUUCUGCUCGAUUUGUGUAUUUGUUGCAUUCAUGUGUGCAUGCAGGUGUACACAUGUAAACACACAGUCAAAUAAAGGCAUUGCAUUGCAAGUUCAAGCAUAUAAAAGCUGGGAACCGUUAAAGUUGAAGUUGGUUGUUUACAUUAUAUGACUGCCUUGAGCAACAUCAUCAUGCCCUAUUUUUGGGGGGGACCACUGUCUGAUCUGUCUGAUUCAGCAUUCAGGUUAGAUGGUGCUAUUAGUGAGUAGCUGUUCAGAAUUUUGCUUUAGUCUCUUUGUUUGGAGUGUGACUGUGCUGUAUUUGCUGUAAGCUAGUCAAGCCCUAUUCUAAAGACAAAAUUAUUAAUUCCUCUAAGGACUUUUCUGUAGCUGUUAUUAUUAGAGUAUGAUUAUGAGCAAUUUUGAAUUAAGUUUGUACAGGCCAAGGCAGACAAUUAUCAUGGAAAUUUUCAGCCCAAGUGAUUAAAGUUUGGCGAAGCUAUUAAAGUUGCUAAAAUGA